RNAcentral lists this long non-coding RNA (376 nucleotides) under Homo sapiens (human). Its description in RNAcentral is "LNC_000327". Lineage: Eukaryota; Metazoa; Chordata; Mammalia; Primates; Hominidae. The record is from RNAcentral.
GCUUAGGAAAAGAAAACUAAAAAAAGACUAUGUAGGGGAGGUGGUUUAGCAGCCAUUCUGUUUGGCUGUGAGGGUUUCGGAAAGGCAUCAUGAACUGGGAAGAGUCGAUGCAGCUCCUGGCACACAGAAAAUGUUCAACUAAUACCCACCAAACUGAAAACCCAGCAAACUAUGAAAACUCAGCAAGAAAAAUAGACAGAAAAGAAGUGGGUCCAAGAAAAUGAUGCCUCCAAAAAGCAGCAAAGGGCAAGUGGAGCAGGAGGAUGCCGUGCUUUAAAAACAGCCACAGGCCGGGUGUGGUGGCUCACGUCUAAUCCUAGCACUUUGGGAGGCCGAGGCGGGCGGAUUGCCUGAGCUCAGGAGUUCGAGACCAGCU